UACGUAGGCAGCAAGCGUUGUUCGGAAUUACUGGGCGUAAAGAGUGUGUAGGCGGUGUUCCAAGUCUGGUGUGAAAUCUCCCGGCUUAACUGGGAGGGUGCAUUAGAAACUGGAAUGCUAGAGGAUGGGAGAGGUAAGCGGAAUUCCUGGUGUAGCGGUGAAAUGCGUAGAUAUCCGGAGGAAGACCGGUGGCGAAGGCGGUCUGCUGGGCAGUUUCUGACACUGAUGCGCGACAGCGUGGGGAGCAAACAGG
This 253-nucleotide ribosomal RNA is filed under the name uncultured bacterium. RNAcentral's name for it is "partial 16S ribosomal RNA". It matches the Rfam family "Bacterial small subunit ribosomal RNA", at positions 524 to 776 of the family's 1533-position model. The record is from RNAcentral.